RNAcentral lists this ribosomal RNA (253 nucleotides) under uncultured bacterium. RNAcentral describes it as "partial 16S ribosomal RNA". It matches the Rfam family "Bacterial small subunit ribosomal RNA", at positions 524 to 776 of the family's 1533-position model. The record is from RNAcentral.
CACGUAGGGCGCAAGCGUUGUCCGGAAUUAUUGGGCGUAAAGAGCGUGUAGGCGGCCAGGUAGGUCCGUUGUGAAAACUCGAGGCUCAACCUCGAGACGUCGGCGGAAACCCUCUGGCUAGAGUCCGGAAGAGGAGAGUGGAAUUCCUGGUGUAGCGGUGAAAUGCGCAGAUAUCAGGAAGAACACCCGUGGCGAAGGCGGCUCUCUGGGACGGUACUGACGCUGAGGCGCGAAGGCCAGGGGAGCAAACGGG